CCCCUCAAGUGAAGCUAAAGAACAAAGACUCAAAGAACUCGAAGACCGAGUUUUAAGAAAACAAAAAGAACUUGAAGAAUGUCAUGCAAGGGCAAGAGAGAAGUCUCUCAAGCAAAGAAUAGAAGAAGCCGAAGCUACUCUUCGCGAACUGAUUGAGCAAUUGCAAAGUGCAAGUCACAAAGUCAUAAACAUAGAAGACCCAAAUUCAGCAACCAGAUUUUCACAAGAAAAGAACUCACAGAAAUCAUAC
Molecule: long non-coding RNA, 250 nt
Filed under: Sorghum bicolor (sorghum)
Lineage: Eukaryota; Viridiplantae; Streptophyta; Magnoliopsida; Poales; Poaceae
Description: long non-coding RNA (SBIC_LNC007047)
Source: RNAcentral